This 1127-nucleotide unclassified non-coding RNA is filed under the name Pollicipes pollicipes. RNAcentral's name for it is "beta-1,4-glucuronyltransferase 1-like, transcript variant X3". The record is from RNAcentral. Lineage: Eukaryota; Metazoa; Arthropoda; Thecostraca; Pollicipedomorpha; Pollicipedidae.
ACGUACAUGAGGAGUCGCCUUGCUUGGCUGGGCGCGGUGGGGGCAAAGUAAGGCCGAUGAUAAAGGAGUUGAGUGAAUUCGGACUGAUGUACGUGUUUGGCCACUGUGACCGUGAUUACUGAUCAUUUGAGGGCUGCAAUCAUAAUUAUCUGUGGACGUGAACAUCCAUGCAUCUUCAAGAAAUGCAUGAUGAAGAAGAAGCAGUUCAUCAUACUAAUGAUUUUCCUGUUCUCUCUGCUGGUUGUUCUGCAGAUAAUUCAUUCUGUAUUAUUGCAGUAUUUAGAAGAUUUUGAAAUGAAUAUUUAUGAAGAACCACUUGCAUCUGAUAAUCAGGAUCACAAUGGAUUUGACAUGGAGCCUGGAUCGCUGCUUUCUCACAUGUCAGAAGCUGUCAAAUCCAACUCAUCACCAGAUGACUCUGGGGAAUACCAGAUUGUUGAGAAUGUUUUAUACUCUGCUGAAGGAACUGACAGAGAUGUGACUCUAGCAGUUCAUGCCUCUGUGGAAAGCCUGAGCACUCUUCCAAGAACCAUUCAUCAAUGGGAGGUAUGAACUGGCUGAAUGUGGCAGUCUGUGAUACCUGGAAAUACUUGUCUGUUCUGAUGGAUGGUGUUGCAUGACACUUUGUUGCCCUUUCAGAACUAUGUUGCUUAAUAGAAGUGUUUGUUGAGCUAUGCUGCAUUAUGGUUGCCUUGAUAGUUGGCACAGAGUGUUCUAAUACCACCAGUGCACAACAGUGUACUGCAAAAGUAAUGGUUUACAGUGUAGAUGCGGUAAUGCGGUUGUAAGCAUAGUGAUAUCACAAUGCAUUAAGUAACCACACAAAGCAUUGAACUAAGUGUAUAUGAAAAGCAAAUGAUGGGUUAGGAAAUCAGAUGAGAAAGUUAAAAGCAUUUCUUUUUUGAUACCACAGGCACCCUUGAUCUUAUGGUUAAGGCGUCAGUGUAUCUUCAUUUGAUGGUCUUGUGUUUUUAGAUCUAGUCUGAACGUUUUGAUUGCAUGGAUUUCUUGCAUCAAGGUUCACGUUUGGCAGAGCUCAUUAGGUGAGCACUUCCCACCUACCGACUUUUCGAACUGUCUGUCCGGCCGUGAAAUUCCAGGUUAUUGGCAGAGUUGUGGGGUGAAAG